CGUCUAGGCGGGGAAUUAAGUUAGGUGUGAAAUCCAUGGGCUCAACUCGUGAAUGGCAUCUAAAACUGGUUCUCUUGAGUCCGGGAGAGGAGAGCAGAAUUCCUGGCGUAGCGGUGAAAUGCGUAGAUAUCAGGAGGAAUACCAGUGGCGAAGGCGGCUCUCUGGCCUAGGACUGACGCUGAAGCGCGAAAGCGUGGGGAGCGAACG
RNAcentral lists this ribosomal RNA (207 nucleotides) under uncultured bacterium. RNAcentral's name for it is "partial 16S ribosomal RNA". It matches the Rfam family "Bacterial small subunit ribosomal RNA", at positions 568 to 774 of the family's 1533-position model. The record is from RNAcentral.